Long non-coding RNA from Trachymyrmex cornetzi, 339 nucleotides. RefSeq lists it as uncharacterized. The transcript is spliced from 3 exons. NCBI's taxonomy places the organism in Eukaryota, Metazoa, Arthropoda, Insecta, Hymenoptera, Formicidae. The record is from RefSeq and is a predicted model, not a curated record.
UUAAAAAUCAUUUCAUCCUUGUUGCUUGUCAAAUGUUAAACGAAGACGAAAGAUACUCGUGAGCGUUGUUAGUAUGAAUCGGACCAUGGCCGUAGUGUACACUUCUUGAACUAGUGCAAGCAGUGCAGAGAAAAAAAACAAACCUUAGAACUCUAACAUUCCAAAGCAAUUAUUAUUUUACCAAAAAACAAAGAAAUUAUCUCAAUGGUUUGCUGCUGCAUAUGCGGGAAAGAACAUUGUCCUUCAUUGCCACGACAAUUUCAUAGAUUCCCAACAGAUAUAAAAAGGCGAAAAAAAUGGUUAAAUAAUAUAAUUGAUUAUAGUAUCAGUGUUUACAAG